AGAGUUUGAUCAUGGCUCAGAACGAACGUUGGCGGCGUGGAUCAGGCAUGCAAGUCGAACGAAUCCCAGGGGGGUAACUCUCUGGGGGAAGUGGCGAAAGGGGCAGUAAGGCAUGGGUAACUUGCCCCGGACUUCGGGAUAGCCUUCCUAACGGAUGGGUAAUACCGAAUGCCGUCACCUGGGGGCAUCCUCGGGUGACGAAAGCUCAGGCGGUCCGGGAGGGGCUCAUGUGGUAUUAUGCUUGUUGGUGGGGUGACGGCCUACCAAGGCUGAGAUGCCUAGCAGGUGUGAGAGCACGACCUGCGCCACUGGCACUGUGACACUGGCCAGACUCCUACGGGAGGCUGCAGUCGAGGAUCUUCGGCAAUGGGCGAAAGCCUGACCGAGCGACGCCGCGUGUGCGAUGAAGGCCUUCGGGUUGUAAAGCACUGUCGAGGGGGAGAAAAGGCAACCUGAUCGACCCCUGGAGGAAGCUCGGGCUAAGUUCGUGCCAGCAGCCGCGGUAAGACGAACCGAGCGAACGUUGUUCGGAAUCACUGGGCUUAAAGGGUGCGUAGGCGGGCCGUCAAGUCAGGGGUGAAAGCCUCCAGCUCAACUGGAGAAGUGCCUUUGAUACUGGCGGCCUCGAGGGAGGUAG
Molecule: ribosomal RNA, 637 nt
Filed under: uncultured bacterium
Lineage: Bacteria
Description: bacterial SSU rRNA
Rfam family: Bacterial small subunit ribosomal RNA
Source: RNAcentral